RNAcentral lists this ribosomal RNA (460 nucleotides) under uncultured bacterium. RNAcentral describes it as "partial 16S ribosomal RNA". It matches the Rfam family "Bacterial small subunit ribosomal RNA", at positions 338 to 795 of the family's 1533-position model. The record is from RNAcentral.
CCUACGGGAGGCUGCAGUGAGGAAUAUUGGUCAAUGGGCGGGAGCCUGAACCAGCCAAGUCGCGUGAGGGAAGACGGUCCUAUGGAUUGUAAACCUCUUUAGGCGGGGAGCAAUGCCGGGCACGCGUGCCCGGAGGGAGAGUACCCGCAGUAUAAGCAUCGGCUAACUCCGUGCCAGCAGCCGCGGUAAUACGGAGGAUGCGAUCUUUAUCCGGAUUUAUUGGGGUUAAAGGUUUCGUAGGCGGAUUUUUAAGUCAGCGGUAAAAUGUCCGGGCUCAACCCGGGCCGGCCGUUGAAACUGGUGAUCUAGAGUGUGCGAGAGGUAUGUGGAAUGCGUGGUGUAGCGGUGAAAUGCAUAGAUAUCACGCAGAACCCCGAUUGCGAAGGCAGCAUACCGGUGCACAACUGACGCUCAGGCACGAAAGCGUGGGUAUCGAACAGGAUUAGAUACCCUAGUAGUC